This 433-nucleotide ribosomal RNA is filed under the name uncultured bacterium. RNAcentral's name for it is "partial 16S ribosomal RNA". It matches the Rfam family "Bacterial small subunit ribosomal RNA", at positions 29 to 507 of the family's 1533-position model. The record is from RNAcentral.
AACGAACGCUGGCGGCAUGCCUAACACAUGCGAGUCGAACGAGACCUUCGGGUCUAGUGGCGCACGGGUGCGUAACGCGUGGGAACCUGCCCUUAGGUUCGGAAUAACUCCCCGAAAGGGGUGCUAAUACCGGGUAAUGUCUUCGGACCAAAGAUUUAUCGCCUUUGGAUGGGCCCGCGUUGGAUUAGCUAGUUGGUAGGGUAAAAGCCUACCAAGGCGACGAUCCAUAGCUGGUCUGAGAGGAUGAUCAGCCACACUGGGACUGAGACACGGCCCAGACUCCUACGGAAGGCAGCAGUGGGGAAUAUUGGACAAUGGGCGAAAGCCUGAUCCAGCAAUGCCGGGUAAGUGAUGAAGGCCGUAGGGUUGUAAAGCUCUUUUACCCGGGAUGAUAAUGACAGUACCGGGAGAAUAAGCACCGGCUAACUACGUG